Molecule: non-coding RNA, 29 nt
Filed under: Homo sapiens (human)
Lineage: Eukaryota; Metazoa; Chordata; Mammalia; Primates; Hominidae
Source: RNAcentral
UGGGAACAGAAAGUUGUCGAUUGCUGUGU